RNAcentral lists this small RNA (46 nucleotides) under Candidatus Sulfotelmatobacter kueseliae. Its description in RNAcentral is "Acido-Lenti-1". It matches the Rfam family "Acido-Lenti-1 RNA". Lineage: Bacteria; Pseudomonadati; Acidobacteriota; Terriglobia; Terriglobales; Candidatus Korobacteraceae. The record is from RNAcentral.
UCCGGCGUUGAAACGCCGGGCUACUAUCAACCGUCCCUCCGGGACG